Molecule: long non-coding RNA, 725 nt
Filed under: Salmo salar (Atlantic salmon)
Lineage: Eukaryota; Metazoa; Chordata; Actinopteri; Salmoniformes; Salmonidae
Description: lncRNA (ENSSSAG00000087455.1)
Source: RNAcentral
CAGGCUUGUAACUUCCAAAACGAAUAAGAAAUAUCAGUUGUUUGCGUGCCCUAUGAAGACAAGACUGCUAAAAUCAGUUUCCUAUUGAAGAUACUUCUUUCUGUAAGAAAUAUUAUAGUUUGAUUACAUUUUAGGGUAUCCCAGGAGUAAAUAAAAACGUAUUUUGACUUGUUGAAACAAAGUUUAGGGGUAGAUUUUCGGAUUCCUUUCUCUGCACGUUGAAUGAGUGGAUUACUCAUAUCGAUGGCGCCAACUAAACUGACUUUUUGGGAUAUAAAGAAGGAGUUUAUCUAACAAAAUGACACUACAUCUUAUAGCUGGGACCCUUUGGAUGACAAAUCAGAGGAAUAUUUUUCAAAAAAAUCUUCAAAGUAGCCACCCAUUGCCUUGAUGACAGCUUGGCAUUCUCUCAACCAGCUUCACCUGCAUGCUUUUCCGACAGUCUUGAAGGAGUUCCCACAUAUGCUGAGGACUUGUUGGCUGCUUCUCCUUCACUCUGCGAUCCAACUCAUCCCAAACCAUCUCAAUUGGGCUGAGGUCGGGUGAUUGUGGAGGCCAGGUCAUCUGAUGCAGCACUCCAUCACUCUCCUUCUUGGUCAAAUAGCCCUUACACAGCCUGGAGGUGUGUUGGGUCAUUGUCCUGUUGAAAAACAAAUGAUAGUCCCACUAAUCCCAAACCAGAUGGGAUGGCGUAUCGCUGCAGAAUGCUGUGGUAGCCAUGCUGG